Triticum aestivum (bread wheat) is the source of this 115-nucleotide non-coding RNA. The record is from Rfam. Lineage: Eukaryota; Viridiplantae; Streptophyta; Magnoliopsida; Poales; Poaceae.
AUAGUACUCCCUCCGUUCCGAAUUACUUGUCUCGAAAAUGAAUGUAUCUAAAACUAAAAUACGUCUAGAUACAUCCAUUCUCACGAUAAGUAAUUCCGAACGGAGGGGGUACAAA